UGGUGUCUUUUUUAUAUUUUUACCCAUACAUUUUUGUAAUAGAAUAGCAUGCUACAUUUUUACAUACAUCGUUUUAUUUAUUUUUAGGCUUAUUGAAACAGACUGAAGUUUUGACCAAAGCUCUUGUGCCUGACUAUGAGACAAGUGAAAAAAAGCGAUCAGAAAUAUUUGGAAAAAUAGCUGCCAUGUCUGGAAUUGGUAUGAUUGUAGGGCCAUUUGUUGGAGGACACCUAGCAGAAGGCUUCCCAGAACACGUAUUACCUUUGGUUGCUAUCAUAGUCGGGAGUUGUUUUUCUAUCAGUGCAGGUCUUGUGUAUUUGUUACCAAACACAAAACAUGACGAGAAGCAAGAAAAGAAGAAAAUCUCACCCAAGAAGAAUUGUUCAACGACUGUAAUGCAAAUAGUACUCAAUGCAUGCAAAGAGUCAUUGUUUGAAUUGUUUAAAAUAGAUUGGUCUGAAUAUGGCACAAUAUUCUUCUUUGUAGCUUUGUUUAAUUUUGCUAUUUUAUUACAUUUUUCUAACUAUGUUUAUUAUUUAAAAACAACAUACGGACUUACACCGAAGUCGAUUGGUUACAUUAUAUCUUUAAAAGGCCUAAUACGAUCAAUAUCUAGUUAUUUAAUAGGAUUUAUUAAUAGCUAUUAUACAAAAGAUAAAGAUUACCGCACUAGAAACGCUCAUGCGUUUUUUAUCACAAGUAUGUCAAUAUUAGGAUUAAUUUUUUCCUUUAAUAUUUAUAUUUAUGUUAUUUUCAUGAUACCUCUAGGAAUAAGUGAAGCUGUUGCAAAGUUAGUGUUUUUGGAAAUGAUACUGAAAAGAGGACGUGCUGAACACCGAUCGGCCUUGAUUGGCGCCACAAACAGCGUACGUUCUAUGUCUGGAGUAAUUGCUCCCGUAGUAUCAGGCGUGGUUGGACAAUAUAUAGGUGUACCAUUUGUUAUUUAUGUAGCAUUUUUCAUCAGCUUAUUUGGUUCUUUUGUAAGUUACAGGUAUGCAAAUAUUGUAAAAGAAGACUGAAUAGUUGUUGAAAUGUUGAAAUACAGUUGUACUUAUCAUUA
Long non-coding RNA from Cydia pomonella (codling moth), 1060 nucleotides. RefSeq lists it as uncharacterized. The transcript is spliced from 2 exons. The record is from RefSeq and is a predicted model, not a curated record. Lineage: Eukaryota; Metazoa; Arthropoda; Insecta; Lepidoptera; Tortricidae.